This 39548-nucleotide long non-coding RNA is filed under the name Gossypium barbadense (sea-island cotton). Its description in RNAcentral is "long non-coding RNA (GBAR_LNC007698)". The record is from RNAcentral. Lineage: Eukaryota; Viridiplantae; Streptophyta; Magnoliopsida; Malvales; Malvaceae.
CCGAUCUAGGUAUGUUCUUCUACUCAUCGAUAGAUAUUAAACCACAAUACCGAUUAUCCAAUUGUCGCUUAGAGCUUGCUAGCUGGACUUCAAAAAAAAAAAAAAACUCAGCCCAAUAACUUAAAUAAAAACUAUCAAAUAGUUCAAUGUUUAUUUUGAGACUUUUUGGAGUUAAGUGAUCAAAACAUAAAAAUGUUAAUAAUUUAAUUAUAUUAAAUGUAGUUUACAUAAAAUAAAAAUAAAAAGAGAAUUAAGAAGUUUCCAUUUUUGGGCCCAAAGAACAGCUUGUAAAGAUCAAAGGAAAAUUAAAUUUGGCUUAAUAGAGAAUCUUGGUUUUUAGAGUUUUUUCAGCGUGUUCAUAUUUACAAGCUUAUAUUGCUUGUAUCUUUAAAUGAUUUGUUUACAAAGGUAAAAUUUUAUUAUUAGUCCCUAUAUUAUAUGCAAGUUUUGAAUUUUGUUACUUCAUUAUAAUUUGGUUCAUUUUUGUUUCCAAACUUUUUAAAUUUUAAAAUUUUAAAAAAUCUACUAUUAAUCGUGUACUAUGCAUAAGGUUUGAAUUUAGUCCUUAUUAUUUAGUUUGAUUAUUUUUAGUCCUUAUUCAAACAAUAGUCAUUAAUCUCAUUAACUAAAAUAACAUGCUUUUUAUGAGUAAUAAGGGGAAACAACAUGGUAACAUGGUAUUACACACGUGAGACUAUGUUUAUCGUACGAUAUUUAGAAAUAAUAAAUUUAAUGCCAGUUAAAUUCAAAUUUAGUGCAUGUACCACGCGUAAGUUGUUAAAUUUUUCCGUAUAUUUUAAUUUGAUCAUUUUUAAUCCCUAUAAUUUUUUAAUUUUAAAAAUUUUUAUUUUUGACCAAACGGUAGUUGUUACAUUCAUUAUGUUAUGCUAUUUCCAAAACUUGACACAACAAGCAUAUUAUUACAUAUGUAAUCUCAUGCUAGCUUGUUAUUUCCAUAUAUUACUUUGAGAAAAACAAGUUCAUGGAUUUAACAAUUGUCAUUUGUAUCUAACACUAAAAUAUUGAAAUUGAAAAGUAUAUGACUAAAAAUCAUCCGAAUAGAGGCCAUGAACUAAACCUACAGCUUUACAUAUAUACAAGGACUAAUAACAAAAUUUAAUCAAUUGAAUUUAAAAGACUAAAAUUUCAAAUUUCUAAAAAUGUCAAAAGAAAAAUACAUUUGACCAAAUUAACAUAGACUAAAUCUAUUAUUUACGCAAAAUAUAGACACCAAAAGUAAAAUUUAACCAUUUAACACUUACUAAUUAAGUCAUGGGCUGAAAUUUCAAAAUUUAAAAAAAAAAUACAUAAAAUAAAAAUAAUGUGCAUAAAAUCUCAUACACCAUCGAUAAAAAAUGACACGAUACAUUUUCAUUAAAUUAAAUAAAAAAUAUAAAGAAGUUAUAAAUAAAUACUAUUAAUUUUAUUUAUAAUUUAAAAAUUUAAGAUUUAAUUAUAAGCAAUAGUAGAAUCAUGGUAGGUCCCAUGAAAGAGUCCUUGUAUGGCCUGCAUCGCACAGAUAUAAACAUAAGAGAAUUGUGUGAAGAGGGGACAAAAGGGCAUCCACUAAAAGUAUGGUAUGGUUAUAAAAAAGAAGUGGAAAAUGAUUUGUAUUUAAGACAAUAUUAAAUAUGUGGGUCUACUUCAGAUUUGCAUUUUCAAGGAAGAUACCACAAGCUUCAGUUUUGUAAUUUUUGUUUCUUGGGACAGAAAUUAAUAUCUGAGGAAUAUUGGCUUUCUUCUUAAAAUUAUAAAUAAUACAAUUAUAUAAAUUACAGAGAAAUAAAAAAUCAUAACAACUGCACAUGAUAAAAUAAAAGUAGAAGACUUAUACAUGAAAAAUUGAGUUUAGAAACCCGAAGAUCCAAGGCUUCAGUCUUGAUAAUCAAUAAUACCAAGAUUUCUUGCAAAUUCCAUGGUUUUGUUGUGAUUAAAAAUGAAACCCAUUAGAGAUGUAAUUUUUUUCUUUUUUUCCAAAAGUUGAUUUCAUAAAGUUUUACACAUACCAAAUGCCAACAAAGCCACAAAUCCAGUUACAAUGAACACUUGUACUAGACAAAGCCCCAAAAAGCUAAUAAAUUAAUUCUUUAAAAAGUCUUCCCACCGAAUUUUAAAACAAUAAAAACAAACAAGAGAUCCUAACAAGUUAUGACGAUUUUUUCAAUCAAUAACACUUUCAGCGGUGAGUUUUUUUUUUUUUUUUUAAACAGUUCCUUGCUCUCGUGGCAGUAAAAACAUCUUUUAACUUGAAACAACAAAUGUAAUCUCUAAAAAUAAAUCACAAAUCACCCAACAGAUAAAAAGAAAACAAGUCACCACAAAACUCAAGCGACAAACUCCACAACACACAAUCACCCAAACAUUAUUCUCAUAUAGAUUGUACACUACAAUUUUUUUUUUUUUUUUUUUGUGGACAAAAUAUUAAACCUCAAAACUCAACAAAUGUUCACACAGAGCAUGUUCCACAUGGGCCAUGUUUUACCUAUUCACCCGUUAUUGCAUUACCACUUUGACAACAAUUAUUGAGAUUUUUAUAAUUGGGUCAAUUCAUUGUAUAUUAUAUAUAUAUGUGCCUCUUAGUCACUUCUUAGUAAGGUCAAUUCAUAUACAUAUAGACAUAGUUCAAAGGAUUAUUCAAAAAAUAUAGUUUAAAGGAAAAAAGGAAAAUGCUAUUUGCCAAGGUAUCCCCAUUCUAUCAAGUGGAAAUAUAUAUAUAUAUAUCAUCUAUAUGUAUGAAUAGAUCAUCCCUGUAUUAAAAAUAGGCAGAUGUUACAAAAGAAUAUACUCCCUUUCAACAUAUAUUUUUCUUUUGUUGUUUUUAAACUGAUAUAGUACAAAUUAUGUACACAAUCCCUCCCAAGAAACCAUUUCUACUCUUUAAUAUUAAGCAAUGGUGCUUUUCUUUUAGACCAACCGUGAAGGACAAAGUUCAAAUAUAGCAAGAACCUGAAUUGAAGUUCCAUUUCAUGGCUGUUUUGUUCAUGUUUAGAGCAGUGUAGCAUUUAGCAUUUUCUCCAACAUGGUAAUCGAAGAGACUAUGACCACCAUAAAGCUUCUUGGCCACCGAAGAAGAAGCACAAACCAAUAUUCGAUUGAUUCCGUAUGUCCGUAUGUUUUACUCAGCUUGUUUCGUGAAUACCUGUGAAAACUCUUGCAACCGAAAGUGCAUCAGUGAUGGUGACUAGUCAGGUUUAGUGUACUCAAGUAGCAUGUGCGGUGAUCUGUAAAUCUUCACUAGGGUCCAGUAAAGGACCUCUUCGACUCCAAGCUCACCCUCUGCUCUUGCAGCAUAUAUAUCCUCACAAAUGGCUAUCAACCUACAUCAAAACCGGAUAAACGGGUGUAGGUGAAAUAAGAAAUGAAUGUAAAUGUUCUCCAUGCUUUCGUCCUUUAGCCUUCGGCAUAAGGAAUUCUACCAUAAAAUUUUCUUAUAAGGAUGCAUAUAUAUAUGUACGUGUAUAUAUAUUACCUGUCACAGGAAGGCAGGUUUUCAUACGGUAUUCUCAUUCUUAGGUCGGAGCAUUGAAGCCUGAUAAACCGGCCAACAGCUAGUACAAAAGUUAUGUAGAGACCCCAAAUGCUGAAUUUGCUUAGUGUGUCUCCAAGAAUACCCUCUGUUGCAGUAUUGCAAUAUUAAUCACGACGACAAAAAAAAUCAUAAAAAGUUACUAUCGAAAUAAAUAUACAACAAAAAAUAGUUUUCGAGAACUGACGUGGUGGAGUUUCUUCGGAUACUACAAUGGCCAUUGGUCCUGUGAAACCUCCACAGUGAACCAUAUCAGAUGAAUUGAUAAUAUGGAAGGACCACCACUCGAAAGUUGCUCGAUUGAUAACAAGAUCUGCACUCACUGAACUGACUGAAUUUACCUGUAGAAUUUGGUUUCAAGUCAAUGAUAUAUUAUCAAUGGCAAUAAUAGAAAACAGAAGUUAACAAUGUAUCAUGAAAACAAAACCCGAAUGAAAAGUGCUAUAUACCUCUUGCUCAAAAGUUCUGACUUCACCAGAACCGGUAACACGGAAGUAUCUUGAAUAAAGAUUGUAUACCCUAAAGCCAUUUGCAGAGCCAUUGAAAACCUUUUGAACAUCAGAUCGAUCGGGAAGAUCCUUAGGAUCUAGAGGUUUUUCAUAUUUCACAACUUCCUUGCCUUUUGGCCGAUCCCUUGAAAGCAGCCAAGUAGAUGUGAUACCCAUGUCCAUAUCCCAGUCAAGGGACUGAAUAAAUCUUCUCUGAACGACGUUGGGAACGAGCCACAAAGUACUCGCAUCUGCUUGGCAGCAUAUCAAUUGUACAUCAUUCUUAUUGUAGGUGUCCAAAUAAUUUAGGGGAUCUAGACUAGCAUCGGAAUUGAGCUUAUCCCAUGGGAUCUUUUCACAGAGGGUAGUAUGAUACAAGGUCAACCUUCCACCAAUGGUACUGAUGUCUAUUUGAAAAGUUGCAUCUUUGAUGGGGUUUGCAAUAUUUGUCGGAUUGCCACUGCUGUACAUCUGGCAGAACCAAAGCAAAACAAAGUUAUUGAUGGAUCGAGUUAUAGAAUGCUUCUUCCACCUGAUCACAAGUAACAAUAUACCUAGAUAUCCAUAGGUGUACAUGACUUAUGGUAAAAACAUUAACGAUGCCUGCAGGCCCACAAGUAACGAUAUACAUUUUCCUCAUUUUCACAAUAGCAAUCUACAAAUUACAAAACCCCAUUUCCCGACAAAAAUACAUGCACACAAGAUAUUAGUGGCACAUACAUCCAAGAACAUGGAGUUGUUUUAUAAUGCUUCAAGCAGAAAGUUGCCAACUCAAGUGUUUGUUUUACAUAUUCAGUGGUCCUGGACACCUAGUAUUUGCAUGCACAUGACUCACUAUCCACAUGGAAAAUUACGAAGGAAACAGGUCCUAGCAUACCAGGAAUGAGAAAGAAUAACAAAAUGCCAAUAAUCAAAUGGAAUCCCUUCUGAGAAAAGUUUCUCAAAUGGUUUUUAGGUAAUAAGUACUAGACAUCGAAAAACAUAUCGUGCAAAUAGUAGAUCUGGUUAACGGUUAUGAAGUCUCUUACCAGCAUAGGAGCCCAGAUAACACAAAUUAAGAUAAAGAACAGACAUAUCCCAUUGCAGCACUUGGUCAUUUUUGUUUGCUUUUCUCCUUGUUUGUGCUGAGCUCUAUUCAACAAAGCAUCGCAUUUCACGAGGUACAGGCUUGCAUUUAUGUCUUCCAGCUAAGGAAAAAAGUGACAUGUUAGUUCUAAAAAUCAACAAGAAACAAUUCAAUCAAAGAAUCCCUGCUUACUGAAAAUCAAAACAACUAUUCUUUAUAAAUAAUAAUAAUAAAAGAAACUCUGAACUUACUUUGAGCCAGUCAUACAUGGUCAAAGAUGUUGUUGUGCAUGACCAGUCAAGUACACAUCGUAAUUCAUAAAGAAAUGGUAGAGCCCGAUAAAGUCUAUAGCCUAAGUAAUUAAUUCGUGAGACCUCACUGGUCAAAAACUGUCGAAACAAGGUGCUUUUAUGAGGAAUUCCAUGUCGGAUUUGUACAGCCUGAAGUGCUAGAGAAACUGCUUUAGCAAGAAAUAUAGCACGCAGUACUAGCCGUGCAGCAUGCUGGUCGGAAGGUUCCAUUCGCCAAGCAUACUGUGUAAUCGAAUAUGUGAAGAGAACAAAAUUGAAAAGGUAGAAAACAACUUUUGCUGUUGCAAAUGAACAGAGAUAAAGUAUUCGAUCAACAACAAUCAAGAAAAAAAUGAUCUGCAAAAAAUAAUAUGACCCAGUUAGGAUUAGAUCACAGCAUAUCAAGCCUAUAGUAGCCCAAGUAAGAAUGCGAAGAAAUGACAACUAAGCCAUUAGAAAUAGUCGAGCAAAGUUAAGAAGAGAAAUAAGAAAUAAACUUACAAUCAAGAUAGUUACAUAUUCUAUAGGAAAUUGAUCUUCUAGCUGAUAAACAUCAAGAAAUUCACUCUUGUUCUUUAUGACAGACUGGUAGAACAUUGCAACUAGGAAAAACACAGUCAGAUCAGCAACAAAUAUGUAAGCAUACAGAUCAAAUUCCCUUUUUCCACCACCAAUUACAGAGAGUAUUUGGUAUGGGAAUCCCGUUGCUUCAACAAGCCCAGCACGCUGUGCCUCAAGAAUUUCUUUCGCCACAUCAGCUGCUGGAGUUAGUGACUUGUACCAAUCUGCUGAGGUACAUCCUGUCAAGGGAGAUGCAUACACCACCUCAAAAACAAUCAGAGCCACAUUUGGGCUUUCUCGACUUCUUUCAAUGCUUUGAACCUGGACCCUACUAGCAAAUGGACAAUUACUGGGGAUUAUUUGAGUACAUCUCUCAUCAUGAACUAGCCUAAGCAGUUGGUUCAUUCCAGACUCAACCUUUUCUGGCUGAAUCCCAUCCUCUGGCCACAAAUGAACAUCCACCGAAACUUGAAUAAAGUAAGGAGGAGUUUCCGCUCCCUGUAUCAAUGAUUUCCAGUACCAGAAGAAGCUUCUAAUUACCAGUUUCGCCGUAUUUAUUACAAAUUGGAACAACUCUGAUACCCUUUCACUCCAGCUAUAGUUCACAAGAACCUCUUUUCUACAAAGAGAACUCCUCCUAUGGGAGUUAUAGUCAGUAGAGGGCAUCCAUUCACCAUCUUUUGCACUUAUAGAGCUUUGUAAGAGGGUAAAUAAGUACACAAGAAAUAGAGGCAACGAACUCACAACAAAUGACGAUUUGAUUUCACGAGCAGGAAAUCCUAUUUCACGGAGCAGGUCUGACAUGAUACUCAAUCCACAAUGCUGGAUUACAAUUUGAUACAGAUACUGAAGCAACAUAUAAACUUCCGUGUAAAUCAGCAUGACAACCCAGAAGAUAUAAGUCGGACCUGUAUUCACACAUAGAGCAUACAAGAAAAGAGCUGCAAGAUACACCAUAGAUAGCAAACUGAAGUUCCAUAGAAAGACAAGGAUAAACAAACAGUAGCACACAACAUCGAUAUUAGACCACAUCUGGGACCAUAUAUGCCGAAAGAUCCGCCCCAGCUGCAAACUCGUAGCAUCAGAACUUUUAUCAGAUUGCAGAGAAGAUGAACGGUUCAAAUGGAUAUUCUGCAUCUUUUGGCCCUCCAUCUCAUCAAAGGCCUCAUCCUCACCAGAUGAGUGCUCAUUCAUAUCGGAAUCUUCUGGUGCAAUGUUUAAGAAAUUUACAAGGUUAUUAACUGCCUGAUUUCCAAUAGACUGUACCUGGGAAACGCCAUCACCGAGGAGGUGUACUGCAGAAAUCAAAGGAUGCUCCUUUGCUUGGUUUUUCCUACUUCUCUCUGAAUCUAAAAAAGCACUAUCAGCAUCAGAUUCAAUUUCAGUGAUCUCACAAGGUGCAUAUUCCAUUGAAUUCUUUGGAGAUUCCACAACUUCAGGAUUUUCUGCUUUCAUAUAAGCAGCAUAUGUGUGUGUUUCAGGGGGGAACACUGAAUCUUGUUUAUCAACUUGUUCUUGCUUCCAAAGAGAGCUUUCCUCUUUGUCAAGAGGCCCAACAUCCCUACUUGAAGUAAGAGAAGUCCUCCUCCUCCGCAGGCCUUCAUCGUCAGGAGAGACAUCACCAAAAGUUGCAACAGAAUUCAUGCUAUGGAGCUUUAUUUGCAAGUUAAGCAUCUCAGAUUUCAUCUUCUCCACUUGCAAGUUGCGUUGAUGUUUCUUCUCCUCAGCUUCACGAAUCUGUUGCAACUGUGCAGUUUUCCAAGCAGCUUUUUUCUCUUGCUCACGUACAAUGGCACCAAUUUGCUCCGCUUCAAGGUAUCGUGACACAUAAUCAGACUCGUGGGAGGAAAACAUAUAUGACUGAAGUGAUACCAACAUAAAUAUCACAAUCUCAACAAGUGCGGAUCUGGCAGUAAUUCGAAACCCAUAGUCAUACUUGUAAAAUCCAAUGACUUCAUAUAUGUAGCUCACAGUAUUGCACUUUCCAGAACUAAACUCCCCCACGAAAGGUGAUUGAUAGGCAAGAGAAAGAACGAUCACCACAAAGUUGUAGAUACGCAAGAACUUGAAUAUUUUAUUCUUUUUCUUGAGAAUUUCAAGCCUCAUCCGGAAAAAAACAAGAGCAAAAGCAAGAUAACCCAGGUGCAGAAUAUCAUACUCAAGAGUUCCAGUAAUCAAAAUCAAUACAAGGACCAAGUCCAAUAGAUGGCAAUAACAAUAAAGCCUUACAUAGUCAAGAAAGGUCCACAUGCUUUUGGUUUCAAAAGAGAGAUCUCGCCAAACAAAUGAAUUUUCACGUUGAGACAACAUUUGCCGAUAUGUUGAUGAACCUGAGAAAUCAGACAAGUGAUCUGCACGAAGCUUAAAACAUGCCAGAAGAAAGACCAAGAAAUAGCUAAUAAGCAUUCGGGGAUCAUCAAUGAUCAGUCCUGCAGGAAAAGGAGAAAUUAACAGCAGAUUAGUUUGAACCUCCAUCAUAGGCCAAAAUUAAAUAAUGAAUUGAUAGAUAACUAUGAACCACUGACAGGAAUAGACAAACUCUUCCAAGCAUAAGCUAAUUUAAGCUAAGUUAGAAAACAGUCUAAAAUUGUUCAAAUGCCCGUGUCAAAGAUACCAGACUUCUUGUAGAAAGAAAAAGGAUAAAACAUGGCAAAGUAACAUAGAUGAUAAUGCUAAAAUAAGAAUCAUUAAGUCAAUUUUCUUCUGCCAGUCAAAAGCAAAGUAUAAUAAUUUGUGCAGUGCUUAUCUGCCCUAUUUAAGCAAUAAGCAGAUCCAGAGAUUAAUACCCAGCCAACAGCUCCUGCAAUACUGAAAAUAUGAAGCCGAGCUUUUCCAGCAGUCAUGGCAACAGAUUUCAGACUGACUUGGCUUAUUUUGAUUCAGAGGGAACAUACUCUUCCAAAUGGCAAAAUACUCGAGGAUGAGAACAGAAGCAAACAAGAAGACAAGAACUGGCCAUAAUUUACGAAUAAUCUGCCGAUUCAAAAGAAUACAAACAGCAAGCACUGCAAUAUAUAGCAUAGAGAUGGCAUUCAACAAAGCAAAACUUGCGAGAAGCAAAGCAAUCAUGUUAAUCUCCAGGCCAUAAAGGCUAAACAUGUUCUCUAUCCAGAAUUUCAAAUAUAUUUUUAAGAGAGCCUUCUGUGUUUCAAAUCUCUCUUUCCUUAAUGCAAGGAUUCGCUUCUUGUUCCACUUAUGACUCUCCUUGGUGCUUCCCCAGAAAUAUCCAAAUGAAAAUUUUCUCACACCAUUAACCUCAGAACCUCCUGCUGCUUUGGAGGACCCAUGAUGAGGUGCUUGAGAAAAAGCACUGCUCAAAGAUGACCAUGAAUUGCUUGCUGCUCUGUCUUGUCUUAUAGGUUCUGUCCCAACACUAGAAGAUGGCUUAUCUUCCCCAUUAGACAUGUAGCCAUUGGUGUAGUUAUCCUCUGCUGGUAAAAAUAAAGGACAGGGCUCUUCCCAUUUGCGUUUCUUGGAAAUACCACUUGGCAUAUUAUCCAACCAACGGAAGACAUUGUACUGAAGGAUGCAUGCAGCAAUUACCAGAACCUUUCCUCUCAAGCCUGAUUCUAUACCCCAAAAUCCUGGCUCAUAUGCACGGAUACCCAAAAAGAGCGACAAAUCAGAAUGCUUUUGCCCUGGAAACAUUUCAGCUUGUUUACCCCACAUCUGAAAAAGAUACUCUGAUGUAACCAGAAAUCCCGUAUAAACUAAGAAUGAUUUGGAUGGGAUUUGAGAAGCUUUAGGUAAUGUUGAACAUAUGACAAGGCCAAGUAGAUACAAGAAUCCAAAAGCACAAAUUGGAGAUAAAGAUGCAUAGAAUAAUGAGACAAACAGGACCUUCUGGCUGUGCCAAAUCAGAAACCGCUUGGCAAAGCCAAGUAUCCCAGAACCUAAAGGAUUGGGAUGGUAAGUUCUGUUGUACUUGCUCUGCCUCCUUUCAUAGCUAUAAAGUUGCAUCACAAUUAGAACAGCUAGAGAUUGCCAAAUAUUAUCCAACAAUGAAGCUUCAGGAUCAUAACCCAAAUAAAAAUAGAGAUUUAUAAACCCAGAGAGCCAAAUCUUAAAGCUGGUAAAACUGCUUAAGCUAUAGAUAAUAAUGAACACCAUAAUUGCAUAUAUUUUUAAUGGAAACCAUAGGCGCCUUUUAGUUCUCUCAACAAGUUGUCUUCCAAUAAUCCAAACAAGGAGAAGGAAGAUGUAUCCAAAUGAUAUAUAGUUGGGUGUCACCAUGUAUACUGUGAGAAGAAUAGUCAGCAAAGCAAUGUAGGUUCCACAUGAUCGAUAUAUUGAUAAAAACUUCUGCCCAAUUUCGCUAAGGAAUGAUGCUAUCCUUCUCUCUGAAUAACAUUAAAACAAACAAGUAAAAAAAUGCUGUCAAUAGAAGUUUAGAGGUAGAAGCAGUAAUGGAAAUAUUGAUAGACAAAUGAGUAACAGAAACAAAAUAUUAUAAUAAACAAAAUGGCCUAGAGACAGCUAUCUUGAACAUUCCUAGAAGUCCAAAUUCAUCAGAAAGCAGACAUCUCAUUGUGGCCUAAGGUCAGGCUAAGAACCAGCUAUAAAAUAAUCAAAAAGUAUUUACAAUCAUGUCUAGAUCCAUAAAGCCUGCACAUCAUAGCAGGAUGAUACCAACUUGUUCUAGGUUUAGUUUGCUAUAAUAUUUGAAUAAAAUGUAAGGCAUGAAAUUUAUUAAACGGUUCUCUACUUAGAAUGCAAGUACAGACAUAAAAACAGUCAAUUUUACUACCAAGUUUCCCAUACCUGAUGAACAUAACAUUUCGACAUUCAUAUAAAAUAAGCUAAAAUAUAGGACUACCUAUCAAAAUAAUUUUAGCAUUUGCAAUUAAUAGUGGAAAACCAAACUUUUUUUAUAGGUAUUUUCUUUUUCAAUUUUAACAGCCAAAUUUGGACAGAAAUUUUGACAUGCAUAGAGAUUAUACCAUAAGAAGGAUUAUCAUGGUAGUAGGAGGCGCUUGGAGAUGCAUAGACUGACAAGAGGACAGACUUGUUCAGACCAGCUCUCAAGAUGCUAAAUCCAACAGGAGGGCUAGGGGUGUGCUGCACAAUUGCUGAGAAUGAAAAUAGCAUCUCAAACCCAUGGUUAUGGACUGCACAGAAGCACGCAAGCAAAGCUAUUUCCAGAAAGUUCAAUGAACUGUUAUGUUUAUGGAGACCUACAUCAAUUCAGAGAAGAUUGUUUAGUUUCUUUCUCUUUCCAGGGCCAGGGUAGUUCAUUAAUAGCCAUAAUCAUGACAUAUAAAUGAAAUUAGAUAACCCAAAGCAAAUACAUACCCAACUGCGACAUGAUUUCCAAAACAAUGGAGCCUUUUUGCUCCAAAGCAUUAGAGAUCAAAUCGAUCUGAAGAAGGUACAACAAUGCAAAGUGAGCUUCACAAAGAAGAAUCAGAGACUGGCGAAUCUUUCUGCUGAUGUUGUGGCUCAAAAGAUAGAUCAAAAAGAAAACCACUGAAUCAGAGGAGAAACACAUAAAGCCAAUUAGAAACUGCUAUGGAUAAACUUGCAGUAAUAAUACAAAUUUGCACUUGCUUAUGUGAAUUGUACAAGAACAUUGGACAAAAAUCCUUAUGCUAAAGGAAAAUUUAUAAUUAUACUUAACUAAGAACUAAAGCCGACAAGGUUUAAUAGAACAUACAAUAGACAGCAUGGAUUAAUCCGGGUUUCAUUGCUAUGAUAAAUAUCAGUGCAAGCAUGAUAGCUCGAGAACAUUUGCGCAGUCCCCAUGCAAUUGUAGCCACAAUGAACACCUUGGUCUCUCCAUCCACUGCAAACAAAGGACACGAAGAAGCAAUUAUAUAGAUUAAAAAGUAAAAUUACCACCCUUUUGUACUCAAUAUCCGUAAAUGAUCUUAAAAUAGAUAAGAGAAGCAGUCUAAAGCAAUGCCAGAGUAGUAGAUAUACGAGAAAAUAAUCAGUUUUAUGUGCUGUCAGAAGACAGAAAAUCAAAAUUAAAUCUUAAAGAUAUCUUAAAAUAAAAAACUAACUCUUCAAGCUCACUGUUGUAAGAUAGAAAUCUAACUCGCUAAAUGCACAAUCCUAGAAAUAUAUACCUUCUCAGGAUUUCUAAAGAUAUAUUCCAAAGCCGACCUGAUGACAGUCCUCAAAAUGCAGAUGCCAAGAAAGAAGUCUGUAGCACUCAGAAUAUAUAAUUCAUACCUUCCACAGCAGAGUUGUUCGAUGAUAUAGCGUCCUCAUCAGAUAAAUAGAGGAAAACAGAAUUAUUUACAAGAUUCCCCAAAGCAACCAAAAUUCCAAGACAAAAUUGUGCAAGCAAAAAAAAUCCAGGUAUGGGAUAAUGCCAAAACCCAACCAUUUCCCAAAUUUCCAUAUCCUGCAUGAGCCCAUAUGUUGAUGAAAACAUAAGAAAAAAGAAAUCUGAACCAUUUAAAUUUAUGAAAUGAUGAAUUUGCAAAAGAGAGGAGUACCUUCCCAAAAUUCCUAUUCAAGAAAGCAAAUGCCACAUUGAAUAUAUAGGUGCUUACAGCCCACAAAAGAAUGAAGACAAGGAGAAGCCCAUUUAACCGGUGCAAACGGAACAGGGAAGGAAAAGCAUACACAAUGUAGCCAACAUAUGCAAGUAGCCCAAAAGCACAUAUACUUGCAAAGUGGAAACUCCAAAAGGAAAGAGCAAACAAGGAUACCUGUCAAAAUUUCCACAGACAAUUUACAUAUAUAUCUUAAUAUUGAUAAAAUUAGAGAAAAGACCCAUAAGAUUAUAGAAACAUUUAGUAAAAGGUAGCAAUCAUACUGGAAAACCGUAAGUGAAAAAGUUGAUGGUAAAAGUCCGGAAAGCUGUCCCUCGUAGUAAAACAUUGGUAUGCCUUACACCAGAUCUGGAGAAUUAGAAUAACUCAUUACAGAACUCAAAAUAACCUAUCAGUUAAAGAAUGGACCCUUUUGUUUUCUAGAAAAUAAAAGCAGAAGCAUAAAUGAUACAUGAACAUCUUAUACAGUGUGCCAGAUCCAAAACAAACAUGAUGGUGAAAAGAAAAAGUUAAUUAAAAUGAGUGCUCGUAAUUAAAAUAAUUCUGCAAAGGAGCAAAUUGAAUCAGUAAUUUGAUCAUGUUUGGUAUCCUCUCACUACUGCUUUCUUUCAGGAUAGCUCUAUUAAACAUAGAAAAGCAUGAUUAAAAUAGUAAAGUGUAGAUAAAUACACAUAGGUUAAGAAUAAGAGAAAUUUCCAGGAUAUAGCAGUACAAAUAGUUAUUUGGAUAAACUAUUUCCAGCUUAUAGGUGCAAGAAAUGAAUUAAAUCCAUGGAUAAAUCAAGUAUCCUAGAGUUUGCAAUUUAUGGUGUGUAUAAUAUUUUGCCUCUUUUUAAGAUUUAAAAGCAUAUAACAAGGGAAGAAUCAGAAAUAAUAUAAAUAGGUAUGUUACCUUGAUUCACGAAUGAAGAAUGAAUGCUUUGAUGGAAGUAGUUGCUCUGUCAAGCUACUUUCCCGCGUGGACAUGAUAAAAUCCAUUUCCUCCAAAUCACAUUUGACAUAGGAUAGCUGCAGUACAAGACAGAAUAUUUAAAUAGAAGAAAUAGACACCAAGACGAAAGCAGUACAGAAAUAUUUUAAAAAUAAAAAGAACACAACACAUAAAUAAAUAAGAUAUUUUCAAAAUAUUGUCAUAUUAUGUCUUACAAGUAAUCCAAAACUUCAGGUAUUACUAAACAAAACUUAAGACGACCAUAAAUACAUGUACUAAGCAUAUACAUAGAGCUGCUCUAAUCUUGUUCUCAAUUAUAUUAUUUCUUUAUAAUUAAUUUAACUUGUUCAAAACUAUUAAGAACAUAUAUUAUAUAAAUAUGCGGUUUCCAACUAGGAAGCUCUCAAAUUUUCAACUGCAAUUUCACUGAGCAAAUUGAAUAAAAAUUGCAUCCAGAAUGGAAAAAAUGUCAUCAAUCUCCAAAGUUUAGUUUGCAACUAAAUAGUUCAUAUCUGUCCGGGAAAAAAUUCUUAUAGAAAGAAAACACUUCAAACCAUCUUAAAUUAGUAAUAUGGGGAAAAGACUUAUUAGAUGGAGUUUAGUUUGCAACUAAAUAGUUCAUAUCUGUCCGGGAAAAAUUUCUUAUAGAAAGAAAACACUUCAAACCAUCUUAAAUUAGUAAUAUGGGGAAAAGACUUAUUAGAUGGACAAAUGUCAGACACAGGAAAGACUCAAAUGAAGUCAAUUUCAUAAUAUAAGAUUCUAGGAAGAGGGAAGAGUGUCUUGCAUUUCAUUUAAAGGUUCAGCUAAAAUCUUUAAACAGAAUCAGACGUAUAGUAAUAAAACUAGUACAUACCAUGAUGUAAAAAAGUACAAGAGAAACAGAAGAGCAAAUUUCAGUCCACUCAGAUGUUGAACAUAUUUUGAAUAGACCAACAAAAUCAGCUAUCCACUGUAACAUACUUGAGAACUCUAUAGGGAGUUGAUACACAUAAAGCAUGAAAAUGCUGAAGCCUGCAUAAAACUGGAGAGCCUUCCACAACCUUGACAAAAAAGAAACAGAACAUAAGCUACUAAAAACAUUAACCAAUGAUAAAAUCAAAUUCAUUGACAAAGAAAAUGAAAUAGAACAAUGUACAAAGAGUCAAGAAGAAAUCACCUGAAUAGUCCUAGAAAAUUGCUAGUCAAAGACCAAUCCACUAGCCCAAUGCAGCUUCCAAUGAAAAAUGGCAGAGAAAUCCACGAGGGAUGGCUAAUUCCCACAACCAGCUGAAUAGCAGGUAGAAGCAAACAGGAAGCAACUUUAAGAUGGGAACCUUUCAUGAAAUAAACAAUGGAAAUAAUUUUAUAUCAGUUUCAAUUUAAACAUGACUACCUGAGGUAACAAGUAAAUUAAAAAAACUCAAUUAAAAUUUUAAGUUCAGAAGCUGAAGCAGAAUAAAGAUUAAGAGAGAAAUGUUUAAGAUAGUUUUAACUUUUCUUUCUUUUUCUAUAGUGUCCGAGGCCAACAAAAGUACCAACUUAUUGUCAACGGCAUAGACUUAAUGGGAAUUGAAAUUUAUAUAUAAAAGUAAUAAAGCUGACUGCAAUGCAGAUAAGCAACGCGAUCAUUUCAGUUGGCUAACCAGCGAAAUAGCAAACUACCAGGCAUACACAUUAUAUGUUAUUAAUGCAGUCUGUGCAUACAUUGGAUAUUACUAAGUUGGCAAGGAUACAACUCACAGUAGAGCUAUACUGCACGAAAUACAAAGCAUUUGUUUGCAGAGAAAACUCAACUGUCUGUUCUGUUACCACAUGAAAACCCUUGACUAGAUUGACAAGAACUCUAAAUUGAAUAUGAGGCAAAAUAAUGCUUUAGAAGUUCUAGUAGCUAACUUAUAAGCUUUAAGUAGGCUACAGAGAUCAAUAUUUUCACCUCCAAUCCACAAGGCCCCAAAGAUCACAACAGAAAUAUUCCACUAGUAAAACAUGUGCUAUCAUUGACACAAAAUGAGAAGAGAAUAAUAAGGCUUCACUGCUGCUUUAGAAGAGGGACAAUUGGGGGAAGAGUGUUGAACUUGAUUUAAUUCAUUUAACAAAGUGAAUAAAAUCAUCUCUAGUUCAUAUCCUCUGCAUGCAAUAAGUUAAUCCUAAAACAUGCAUAUAGGAUUGCUAAAUGGAUCCUGUUUUGGGUGGGGAGAGUACAUAGUGCAACAAUAUCACUACAUAAAAAAAAAUUAGAAAAAUAAGGAAAUACUUACAAACCUAAUUGUUCAACAACUGUCAAGAAAUGACCCCAACAAGUAUACCGCCACGGAACAAGACCGAAUCUGUUCACAUGUAUAUCAAGCAAUGCAACUACUAGCACUAGAAGUUGUGUAACCAAGAAAUAGAUCACAGUGGGAGAUCUCCAAGACUGGAUUCUGCAAAAGCAUAGCCAAAUGGACAAACUGUCAAAAUAUGCAGAGACUGAAGGAACAGAAGAAUUAAAGAAAACAAAAUAUAUCCUUACAUCAUAAAACCAAUUAGCUUGAGCCACCAAGCAUCUCCUACACUCUGUUUAUAGCCUCCAACAGCCCAUAUAACAAGAUAUGCAACUUGUGAAAGAAAAACAAGUAGGGAAAAGAUGAUAACAGGCCACAGUAACAAAUAUUUCCUCCUGAAACGAAAUCCUAUAAGAAAGUAAUCCCAUGUUACUUUAUAAGAAAUGAAAACAACUUCAAAUAAAACCAUUAAAAUAACAAUAAUCAGAAAAAGAAGUUAAACUUAUAAAAAAUGCAAGAAGUCAAGAAAUAUCAUAAACCCCUCUUCUAAUUUUCUUAUAGACUCGGGGUUAUGUAACAUUAAAGACUGCUGAAUUCUACAAUAAGCACUUAGCAAAGUUCAUUAGAUACGUACAGCAAAAUCUAAAGCACCAACAAGAUAAAAGUAGUAAGAAAAAACAAUGAACAACUGAGACCCUGCUGAAUUAUGGAAAAUUAGAACUACAGAACUGCAAAGAUAAAGCAAAAAUUUACCAGAAAAUCUUCAUCACUUACCUAUUUUAGGUGCAGUAUACUGAAUGAGAAGGAAAGCGAUCAAAUCAACAUGAGAGAUCAAACUCCAAUUGAGCAAUGAAGCUUCAAGAAAGACAGAACAGGUAAAAACUAUUAAUUAAUUGAUGGCAGAGCAUAUAUGUAUUUGUAUAUGCAUACACACAACAAAAAAAAUGCAGUUUCAAACAGUAACUCAUAAAAGAAUAAAUGAUCUCAACGUCAGUAGAGAAUUUUUCUUGCUGGGAGUCUUCUAUGUAGAGCAUUCUGUAAGUUAUCAAUUUACAGGUCUCUCAACUUAUAAAAUUUAAAAUUAACACUCUAUGGCACUCUGCUAAGACCGUGCCUCAAAGCUCAUUAACAAACCAACCUGUCCCUCACCAAAAAGAAUACCAAUGAAGUUUUCGCUUUUCAAGUGACUUUUAACUGCAAAAUCCCUUCUACCCUUCUCACCUUUCAGGUUCCAAAAUAACAAAGACUGGAUGAUGUCCUGUGUCACAAGCUAAUUUUAAACUAGGUUCAGGUACCCAGGAAUUAGAUUUUUACAGUCUCAAAAACUUGAAACUUACAAUUGAUACUGGUCUAGUUCAAGAAUGACCCCUCAAAGUGAAUUUUCCAAACAAUAUAUGAAAAGAACAGAAGGUUGCAUAUAAAUGCAAAGACUAGUGUUCCCAUCAUGAACUCAUGAGCAGUAAACAAAAUCCCUACUCUUAAACAGCAGCUUGGAUGAUAAAAAAAAAAGGGUCAUUUAGACUCUCCUCAACUUCCUAAGACACUCCCUUAUGGAAUUCGGAUUUGGUUAUUUCUCUAUGGGACAUAGCAUAGCUCAAAUUAUACAGAUAAACGCGAGCACUUUAAGACAUAGCUCAAACAAUGCAUAUGUAAAGUAGAUUCCAACAGACAACCAACACCACUAAAUGAAUUUCUAAUUAAAAAAAAAGGGGGGGGAAUGAAGCAAAAAAGAAAGAAACCCGGAGUCUUUAUAUAAAUUUAUAAGGGAUGAAAUUAAAAGUAAAGAGUAUUAAGAAACAAAGCAUACCUGUAAGAAGCAGCAAAGGCAAAGCAAACCCAGUUAGAAAACUCCCCAUGAGAUUAGCACUUGAAUUCCACCAAAAAAACCAGAUCGAUUCACAGCAAAAACACAGAAUACGUUAAUGGGUUUUCGUUUUCCAUUAAAAUCAACAAAAACCCAUUUCACAUCAAAUCAAAAAUUUCCUCCUAAGCAAACGAAACGAGGAAAUUUUUGACUUGAAAACCCCAAGAAUGGAAGUUCGGGUCACGUGUUUUUCAGCAAAAGAGGGAAUAAAUUAAUAAAAAUAAAAACGAAAUUAGCUAUGGGUUUUACUAAGUACAAAACCAAAUUCGUCAAAAUCUGAUGUCCUGAAAUAUGUAUUAAGGAAUUAAAAUAACAGCAAGGUUGAUUUUAUAUUAUGAACAUAAAAAAUGAUUUUUUUAUAUAAGGAAAAUAUGGCUUUACCUGAUAUUCUAGAAUAUUAUAUAACUCAAGAUAUUUUUUUUACCCGCGCAAUGCUGCGAAGGGAAAUAUCUUUCUAGCAUAUUCAUUGAUUUAUUUAUUUAUUUUGGUACAUAUAAUUAGAGUCAAAAUUUUUAAAAUUCCAUGGGUGAUUGAAUCAAUUAUAUCACCAGUUUAUUUAAUUAAAUUAAAUAAAUUAUUAAAAAUUUAUAAAAUAUUAAAAAUUUGGUUUGUGUUUGAAUUAAUUGAUUUAUAUCAAUUUCUAAAUCUAUUGAUCUAAUUACUUUUUUGAAUUGGUAUCCUAAUUGAUUCUCGAUUCGAUCAAUUAAUUUAUCUAAUUUGAUUUAAAUAAUCUCAAUAAAGCUAAAUGAAUAUAAAAUUUAGAGGAUAAAUAAAAAUGAUAAAUAUUGUAUAUGUAUAAAUGAAGGAUUAAAAAAAUCAAGCAAUGAAAUAUGAAAAUAUUUAUUUCAAUAUUUUUUUAAGAAAUAAAAAAUUAAAGUGUUGUUUUUGAUAAAAAAGGUUAUCAAAAUAAAAAUGGAAAGAAAAAAUUUUCAAAUAUUUAAGAGUUUAAUAAUAUUUUUUCAAAAGAAAAAAUUGAGGGUUUAAUUAAAAUUUUGUGAGAUUAAUGAGAAAUUCAAAAAAAAAUUAGAAGAGCUUAAUUAAAAAUUUCAAAUAAAUUAAAAUACAUAACGAAAAUUUUCAAUACAAAAAUAAAAAUAAAAAUUUUCAAAAAAUUAGGAGAUCAAAGCUCCCUUAGCCUCCAUUACGAUCCGCCACCGCCUUUAUGGUUCAUCAGUUCACUAUUUGAAAGAGUAAGAUAUAUGAUGUGCUUAUUAAGUUCAACUGAACACUUAUAUUAUAAUCAUUUAUCAAUGGUUACAAAUAUUGAAAAUCAAGACCAAUUAACCAUAUUGAACUAAGAUUUUUCGGGCUUCAUUAAGUUGACAUUUUUGAUCAUUCUUUCUUUUGUUUUCUUGAUAUAUUUAUCGGAUAUUUCAUUGAUAUUCAACCCCAAACCUGUAAGCACUAGUCUCGAAUCAUCAGGUCGGACUGGUGUUGUCGGUUUCGCCAUGGCAAAUUCAUUGCCUGCCUCCCCACUGGCUACAGGGACGAUGAUCUUUGGGUGGCCUAUACCAGUUCGCAAUGAAUUCUCCUUCUUACCCGAGGGGUCAGGGACCGACAAACCGAACUUGUCAACGGUAGGCUGAUCAUCCAACUCUUCUGUUUGCUUAAACAAAAUCUUAACUGUAGGAUCUGAACCAUCAUCCUUGGCUUGGCUUGCAAGUGGUUCUUGUACUUCAUUGCUAGCAAAUUCACCUAGUGACCCUUUACCAGUUGAGCCCUGAGUCAUGAUGUGACCCAAGGUUAACCAUUUCGAGCCUUUACGAAUGAAGUUGAAGAGCCUAUGGCAAAUGCCAAAUGGCUGAUCAUCCUUUCCCUUCUGCUCCAUUGCCUUGGCUGAAAAUAAGUGGAAAAGAAUCGCUAUUUGAAUGAUUCGAAACUUGGAGCUCAAAAAAAUGAAGAAAGAAAGAGUGAGAUUUUCCAUGGAAGGGAGGGAUAUAAUUUAAUGGAUUCUUGGAAUAAGGGAGGAAUUUGUACUUUCCUUUAAGUCAAAUUUUAUUCCAAAACAGCAACAAGAAACAUCGAGGGGAAUUGGUGAUUGGUGAAUGUAGUUGAUGGAGAGAUUAAGAUACCAUGUGAACUGAAGUUUCUUCUUUUUUUUUUAUUAGCAAAUAUGCUUUGUGAAAUUACUAGGAGAUAAGAUAUUCUUUCUACACUUGAUGUAAACAUAUCUAUGGAAUAAAGUUAGAUGGAGACUUUUGACAUAUGUGCAUGAGUCUCGUGCAUAUUCAAUAAACAAUGACAUGUCAUCAGUGAAAUAAAAGAAAUAGUGAAAAUUUAUAAAUAAAUAUUAAUAACUUCAUUCUAAAAUAAAUCUAAAACUCUAAAAUUAUCAUAAACCUUAAAUCUUAAACUAUAAAAUCUAAACUAAAAACCUUAGAAAAAAAAUAAUUAUAAUUAAUAUUUAUUUUUAUUUAAAUAAUUAUUAUUAUCUCCACUAUUUUAUUAUGCACACCGAUAAUGUAUAAAAUCUAUACACAUUAAAUAUAAUUCAUAUAUAUUAUUAAUGCAAUUUAAGAAUCUUCCACUGGCACUUCAAUUAGAAUAUGCAUAAAUUGUUCUUCACAUGCAUGUGUGUGUGUGUGAAUGGCUAUUUAUAAAGAAAGAAAAAGCAUAAAUUCCUAAGGGGCAGCAUUAAGGGAAACUAAUGGGUGUCUGUUUCACAUGAAAAGAGAAUAUCAACUUUCAUCUACAACUUUGGGAACCCUUUCCUAAUGAAAGAAAAUCAUAACAUAAAAAUAAGUGAAGGGAUUGGAUACGGUGAGGUUUUCUGAUUUGGUGUUUUUUGUGGUAUCAUCAAUUUUAAUACCCAAAAUCUAGAAGUAUAAUUAAUUGAACUCUUUUGAUUGAUUUGGUAGUUAAGGGUUGCUCACUUAGAGAACUCACUCGAGUUUAAAUUUGUGGAGGGGUAAUGGAAGGCCUUUAUAUGGCCAGCUCUUUUAGGAUGUUGUGUGUGCGUGUGUAGCGUAACAGCUUUUAAAAUUGGCAUAAUGAUAACUUUAAUUCUCAACGUUUAUAUAUAUGCCAAUUUAUUUAGUCUUGAUUCUAAAAUAUCUAACCCUUAACAUUUACAUAUUGUAUAAUUUGGUCUUUUUUGCUUUUUAUAAUUGGGUAACCAUUUUAUAAUUUUUUAUAAUUGGGUGACAAAAAAUAAAUUUACUAAGUUGGGUGACUACAAUGUGGUUUACCCUUAUAAAAUUUACAUUUGUCUAACCAACAAAUUGCAUUACUUAAUUUAGGGUUGAGUAAAGAAAUUGAGAAAGCCAAAAUUUGAUUUGAACCAUUGCAUUUUAUUCGCUUUGAUUUGGUUUCAGAUUGAUGUUAUCACUCAUAUCUCACAAUUCAAUUUGGGUUCAAUUUUUCCGCAUGAAACUCACUUUAUUCAAAUCAAACCGAAUGAAAAGAAAACCAUAUUUAAACAAAUAGUCGUGAUAGACUAACAGAUAGAUUAUUAAUAUCUACAUGGCUAAUUCAUUUCACCUAAUUAUUAUUAUAUUGUUAAAAAAAACUAAAUAUAAUCAUACAAAAAGUUAAAGUUGUUUAAAUGUUUCAAACAAAAAGUUUAUAUAUAUUAAUGUAAGUGGAUCAUUUAUUGAAUAUGAUAGUUAUAUUUAUAAGCACAAUUAUAAUUUUAGUAAAUUACUUUAUAAAACUUUUAUAAUAAUUUAUUCAUAAAAGAAAUUGUUCACAAAUUGUCAACCGUGUAUGUUUGAUCGUUAUGAAUUUAAUUGAUUAUAUGAUAUAUUGCAAUGACUCAAUUAUAAAUAAUUGAAGCCAGCAACUAAUGAAAUUAAUUAAAAAACGAUACAAUAAACAUUAGGUAUAUGAAUGAUUUAUAUGUUUCUUUUUAACAACUUUGAAUGAUUUAUCAACUUAAUAGCUUAACUUAAAAUGACUUUUUUAAGUGAGGAUAAAUAUAAAAAAGAGUACACAUGAACUUUCAUCCAAUGAAUAAUAUGAUAUAUGAAUUUUGAUUUUGUACGGUUAUACACAUGAAACUUUGAUCGAGGAUCAAUUUUAUUCAUAGAACUUUGAUUUUCAUUCAAUUAGUAAGUAUUUAAAUAAAUAGAUACAAUAAUUUAUUUAUAUUAGAAAAGUAUAAUCAUCUCUGCAUGUAAUGUGUAAACGUAAAAUGUAUUAUAUCAGUAAUGAUGUUAAUGGUUCGUGAAAAUUGAAUCAAAUUAAAAUGUCAUAUGUAAAAUUGCACAAAAUCAAAGUUCAUAUAUAACAUUGCACAUUAGACUCAAGUUCAUGUGCAGUUUUGAUAUUCAUCCCUUUUAAAUAGUAUUUGCAAAUUGAUUAUGAUGUUAAUUUAAUUAUUUAAUUCACUUUAUAAAUGAAUGUAAAGUAUGUAUUAUGAUGGUUAAGAAAAAAUUAAGAAUUGCAAUAUUAGGUUUUUUGGGCCCAAAAACAAUGUGGUUGUUUUUUUCACAAGCAUUGUCCAAAUUUGCCAAAGAAUUGCUAAAUCGAAUCACAAUUAUCGAUUUCAAAUAUUUUGAUUUUUACUCAACACAUUCGAUUUUAAAGGUCGAAAAUCAAAUGAAGCAGUUCAGUUCAAUUUUUGUCUAAUAAAUAUUGUAUCAAACUGAAUCAAAUACACCACUAAUCUAGUUGAUGCCUAGUUCAGGAAUAGGUUGUGCUAUAUGUGAUUUAACUAGACAAGGUAAUGUAAGAAUAACUCACAAUGAUCCAAACAAGUAAAUAAAGAUGACUCAGACUUGAAGUUACCAAACCCAUAAUGACUCGAUAUGAAAACAAAACUCAAAACCUCAAAUUUGAAUAACCUAAGCCCAAAAUACUCGAGAUGCGAAGUCAAAUCAAACCUAAUACAAACCCAAAAUCAACUCAACCCGAAAUGUUCUAAAAAUUUUAAAAUUUUAUUUGACCUGACCUAGAUGGACUAAUUCAAAAUCAAUCUGACCCAUACAAUCAGAAGUUAUACUUAUCAUCUAUUGUCGAUAUGAACAUUUAUAAGCAGAGCAAAUAUCUACUAAAAUAUUUCUAAAAAAUGUAAAAUUAUAAAUUAAUGUAACGAUAAGAUUACACCGUUACUCUCAAAAAGGAAUUUCUAACUUCAUCCUUAAUCAUCUCAUACCCUUGAAGUUGAUAUCAAAAGUAUUAAAUAAUCAAAGCAUUCCACAGCUUGGUGAUAAGGGUUUGAUUGGAAUCAAUUUUGGAGAAUUUUUUUUGCUACCCUAUGUUUUUUAAAACUUAAACUAAAAUCAAAUCGAAAUUUAAAAAUUAUUUGAUAAACCAUAAAACAAAACUCUUAUUGUAAAGUAUGUAAAAAACAAAACAGAAAAUUAAUAUAAAAAGCAAAAACUGAAUUCAAUCGAAUCAAAUUAUUACGGAUAGUUUGAAAUUUUUAUAAUCCAAUUAAAGUAAAAAUCAAUGGUGACCAACCAGCUGGAAAUUUUUGUAUUUGGUUGAUUUGCAAGUAAAAGUUUUAAGGUUAAAGUUAAAAUUUCGUGUUAAAAUUAUUUAACUGAAUUAUUAAUUUUUACAAAAGAUCGAAAGUACAAUUUCACAUUUACUCAAGUAUUUAAAAUGGAUUAUGUAACAUCCUCAAAACCCUAUUGGUCGUAAAUAAUAUGAGAUAAAAUCUUACGAAAAUAAGGUAUAAGAUCAAAGAAAAUGAAAGUUGCAAUAUAUCAAAAGAGAGUUAAAUCAAGAAGCAUGACACGAUGUAUUAAGGAAGUGACUAAAUCGUAAAUAUGUGAAAAGCUUUUGGCUCAAGUGUAAAUAUUCAAAAUUUAAGGGAUUGAAAUGUAAUAAUGGGAAAUUUGAAGGACCAAAAGUGAAAAUAAUCCAAUUUACUAAUAUAUGGAUUGGCAUGCAUGGACCAAAUUGAAUAGGUGAAGAAUUGUGAGGGUCUAAAUUACAAUUUUACUAAAUUAAGUGAUAAUUCAAUGAUGGAAUUUUGAAAGAUCAUAAAUAGUAAAAUUGUCAAUUAGCAAGAGGGAGAAUUAUAGAAUAUAAUGAUGAUGUUGAUGAUAUUUUGGUGAUUUUUUUAAUUAAUUAGUUAAAUAUUAUUUUAUUAAUAUUUUACUUAGAUAUUUAUUAUUAUUUUAUUUAGAAAAUGGUAGUAUAAAAAAAAAGGAAGGAUGAAAGAAAUUUAUCAUCCGUCCAACGUGAGUGAAAGGGUAAGAAAGAAUGUUUUCUUUUCUUUACAAUUUAGUCCUUUGUCAUGAAAACCUACAUUUUUACCCAAAAUCUUUAAAAAUUUCUUUAGAUAUUAAAGAGAGAAGAUGAAAUAGAGAUUUUAGAGAAUAUGCCCAUCAAUUUAGAAUCAAGAAAAUAGUAGAUGAAAGUGGAGAAAAUGAGAAAAAAAAAAGGAAGGAAAGCGGUGAAGAUGAGAAAUGCAUGGAAAUGAAGAAAUUCUUUACAAAAGAGGUAAGUUUCAUACUAAACCUAUUUGUAUUUCAAUAGAUUGAGUUAAAGAUAUUUUGAGUAAGAUGUAUGAAACAUGUAUUUAAUCUAAAUACUAGAAAUAGAAAGUAUUUUGAUGAAGAACAAAUACUUCAAACACUAAAUUGGUAAGAGAGAAUAUGAUUUGUAUGGUGAAAAGUACUAAUAUUAAGAAAUGAAUAUGUAAUCUACACAUAAACAUAAGUAACUAAAUUGUAUAGUAAUCAAAAGUAUGGCAAUAAUGUGUGAUUGAAUGAAAGAUGGUGCAAAGGACCUUGAAAAAGAAAAUAUUUUCAUUAAAACAGUUUGGACAAUAGCAGUGACUUAAUUUUGAAAAUUCACCUAAAAUUUUAGAAAUUUAGUUAGAGAUUUAAUUAAAUAUGGAAUUAAAGCUUAUUGAGUAUAGUUUCAUAUGGAAGAAACGGUGAAAGAAAUUAGACUUUAUAGUUUGAGAUAUAUUAAUUUUUGUGAAACAAGGUUGGAGUGGAUUCGGGUUCUCCUGUUCUAAAUUUGGAAAAUCAUAAAAAAUUGUAAAAAAAAAUGAUUAUGAGUUUAAAUUUAUAUGUUUAAAUUAUUAAUGAGUCUAUUUUCAAUAGAAACAAACGAAAAAAUCAUCCAAACCUCGUACUAAGAAAUAAUUAAUUUUUAGUAAAGAAAUAUCGAAGUUGUCAAGCAACAGAAUAGGGACAAAUUUGAAUAAUUUACCGUACUGAUUGGCUAAAUUAUAAAUUCUGAAAUUUUUAUGGUAAAAAUAUAUUCGAGUCUAGUUUCAAAAAUAUCAAUUGGAUCUUAAUUUCAAAUUCUGUAACUCAAGACAUAAAUAAUUUAGUGACUAUGACUUAAGUGGACAGCUUUGAUAUGAACAUAUAAGUAAAUAGUGGAAUUAUGGACAAUGUUACAUAUAAGCAUGUUAUAUACUAAAAGCUAAAGAUUCUAAUAAAUAUAUACAUAAAAGAUGUGGAAUGGAGAGGAAGAUGAGGGAAAAAAUAUAUAUGAUUAUAUAUAUAGUAGAUGAAUUUGAAAUGUUUCGAAAUGGUUGUAAAUGAUGAAAUGAUUAAUACAUGUGAAUAUGUUUAAACGAAUUGAUAAAAUAACAAGUGAAUAAUUGUUAAUUGAUGUGAUAUUGAAUUCUUAUUAAAAUUUUAUGAAGAAUUAAAUUGAUUGCCACAAUUUAGAAAUAAAUAUGAAAUAUACAUAAAUUGGGUAAACUACUUUGAAAGUGCAAGUCCUCCAAUGGUCUUAUUUGUAAAACUUUGAUAUUUGUCUUAAUUUUAUAAACUUUGUUAUCUUUAAUCGAAUAUCAUGUUUUUAUGAGGACUUGGGAUUAGAAAUAGAUAUCAAUGGAUGAUAUGUAAAAUGAAGUGGCAGUUAUGAUAUCUAAAUACGGUUCAUGUAAUGAUAUAAAAAAAUAAAUAAAUAAAAAUAAAGCAUGGAACUUGUAGGAAAAUGGAGAUUAUGUUAUGAUGACAAGUUUGCUAUGUCAUGACGUGAAAACCCCAAUGUGGCGACGACAAUUCAAAAUUUUUUAUGAACUAUACAAUUUGGCAUUUGAUCAAUUGUAGACGUUUUAAUGAGCUCAUUUAACUUAUAAUUAUUUUUUUCGUAAAUUUAAUUAUUAUUGAAAUGAGUUAAUGAUCUAUAUUAAUUAAAUAAUAUGAUACAUUGAUUUGAAAUUUUCAGUAGUUGCUUCGGUAACGAAUGUAACAUCCUGAUGCCUUGACUCGCCAACCAGGUCGAGUAUGGGGUUGUUACAGAUUAAAUUAAAAUAUUAUAUUUUAAUUUAUAACUUACACAUAGAUCUGUUCGUGGAUCGGGUCACUUGACCCAAUAAGUGGGAAGGUUUGAUUAAAAAUAUAUGCUCGAAAAAUGGGCUUGAACAAAAAAAUAAGACUUGUUUAAAAAAUGGGCCAAGCUUCAGAUAAUGCUUUUUUUGACCCGAGCCCAGCCCAAUCCGACAUAAUUAGAAAAAAAAAGACAAAAAAAGCUAUUUUGAUGCUAUUUUUUAUUAUUAUUUUCUCACUAUUUUACUAUUAUUUUACUAUUAUGUUACUACUAUUUUGUUGUUAUUGUUUGAAUAUUGUAUAACUCUUAUUUUGUUAUUAAUUUUGUUACUAUUUUAGAGGCAUUUGAUUGUUAAGUUACACAUAUCUUAGUGUUAUUUAAGUAUAAAUAUUUUUUUAAUUUGUUGGAAAAUAUUUAUUUUAUUUUAUAAGUAUUUUUUAUGUAUUGUAUUUUAUUUUUUUAUAUAAAAAUUUUAAUUUGGCCGAGUUGAGCUUGGGCUAAAUUUUAGGCCAAUUUUUUAGGUUGGGCCCGGGCCGAACAAAUAGGCCUAAAAUUUUGACAAUGUUCAACCCGAUCCAUUGACAAAUCUACUCAUAUAUAAUAUAUGGACUAAAUUCAUAACUUACAUAUAGUAUAGGGUCUAAUAAUAACUUAAUUUAUAAAAAAAUAACUUUAUAAAGUUAUGAUAAAAAAACUAUAAUAUUUUUAAAUGAAUAAGUAUGUUAUUUUUAUAAUGUAAAGCAUAGACACGUAGAUAAGUUAUGUCUAUAUUUCUUCGUCAUAACUUUUUAUAAAUAUAUAUAUAACCCUUUCAUAACAUGUAAAUUAUUGUUUUAUAAUAAACUUUUGAUCAUAAUUUUAGAAUUAUUUUAGGAUUUUAAAAAAUAUUUUUUAUUAUAACUUUAUAAAAUACACAAUUUUUUUUACAAUAUAAUUUUUUAAGGUUUAUAAUAUAAGAAAAUUUUGGCCAUAACUAAUCCAAGUACUCAUUCAUGUUUAUAAUAUAAUUUCUAUAACUUGUAUAAAAAUAAUUUUUAAAAAUUUAUUUAAGUGUAAUUAACUGCGUAAUUAUUCUAAUUCUCACCAUCCCCCUUAACAAUUGAAAAGUUUAGUUGGGGUGCUCCAAUUUCACCCAAUGCAGUGGGACUCAUCAAUUAUAAUGGUUACACAAACACGUCAUCCUUGUGUAAUUACUAACAAUUACACUUAAAUCUAAUUAUUAGAUGCAUUUCCAAACACUGCCUAAACGAUAGGCAACUUAAGCAAACUUACUUUGAAUAUAAUAUUUAUUUGGAUAAAUAUCUUAUUUUCGUAUCUAAGUUUGGCUUCAAUGUUCAAUUUGAUAAAUGAGUUUUUUUUUUCUCAAUUUGGUACUUGAGUUUAGCUUUAAUAUUUACUUUGGUACUCGAGUUUUUUCAAUUUGAUAUUUGAGUUUUUUUUUGUUCAGUUUAAGUAUCUAAAUUCAGCGUUUAAUUUGGUACGUGAGUCUUUUUUUGGUCCCGAUUAAGUAUCUGUGUUCUUUUUAGCAUAAAACACAUGUCAAUCAUUCAUUGGGCUAUAUUAUAUCAUUUGGCAUAGGUACCAAAUUGAAUAUUGAAGCCAAAUUUAGAUAUCAAGUUAGGAAAAAAAAACUUAGGUACCAAAUUGAACAUUAAAACCAAUCUCAUAUAUUGAAUGAUAUAUUAAUAGUAUUUUUUAAACAUAAUAUUUUAUUUAUAUUAUUUUAUUGACAUAUAUUCGCAAGUGUCUUCAUCUGUUUUACAAUUUAAAUCUAAUCUUAUUCGAGAAAAAAUAAUAUUCAGGUAAAACACUCCUUACAUGACUACUCCAGAAUUUUAUUUAUAUUAUUCAUUCAUUAUUAAAUAAUAAUGUUGCACCAUGAAAUUUGAUAGAUAUUAUUAUUUUUAUGCACGUAUAAGUAUAGAUAAAAGAGUUAUUUUAUAUUGUGGUUGUAAAAUUUUAAAACUUUGAAACUCAUGUGAUGGCUUGAUGGCCAAGAGUGUUCACCGCCUCAGGUGUGACCUGAAUUCGAGUCGCACUAGUCACAUUGGUUGUUUGGGAUAUGCCCUGUUAUUGUAAUUCACCAAAAAUAAAUUAAAACUCUACAAAUAUAAAAAGAGAUGUAAUAAAUAAAAAUAAAAAUUAAUUAUAUAAAAAGGAUAUUUAUCAAAUUUUUAAUUAAAUAUUUAUAUGUAAUAUAAUUACAAUAUUAUUAUUUUAAAAAUUUUAUGAAAAUAUAAACAAAUUAUAUAUUUGGAUGACAUCAUCAUUUGCACAUCAUAUUAUAUUAACAUGAAUUUUUAUUAGAAAUAAACGUUACAUACGGAUUAAAUUUUAACUCGAUUAAUAUUAGUAUUGUUGUCAGUGUAGAAAAAUGAGCGUUCGAGCAUGCUGGAGCAUGUUUAUACUACUAUUUAAUGAUUGAGAUGAAUUAUAGGUCGUUUUAAAUAAUCUUAUCUAGGUAUAAAAUAUAAAAAACUUAGGAGUAUUAUUUUAUAACUACUGAAAUGACUAGAAUACCCCAUUAAAGGAACAACAGUCUUCGGGUCAGUUCUGCAUUACUUUUCAAAAGCACUUCUGGAAGAAAAGUUGUGCAGAAUAAGUUGCUUUUGGCUGAAAUUUUUAGCUUUUCAGAAGUGCUUUUGAAAAGCACUUCUGAAAAAGAGAAAAUAAAAUUUUUAGCUUUUCCUCUCCCCAAAACACUUUUAGUGCUUAAUUACUUUUUCACCCCUCCAAUAACAUAGUACUUCCCCCUUUUUUUUCUUGGUAAUUAAUUGCAAAUGUGUUAAAAUCAUUAAUUAAAAAUAAAAAAUAUUUUUUAAAAUACUAAUUACAAAUAUUUAAUAGUUAUAUUUAAAUAUUUAAAAUAUAAUUUAUAUAUUCUAAUUAAAUUUUAUAAAUAAUUAAUAUUUAUUGCUUAAAAAUAUUUAAAAUUUAUAUUUUAUAUAUUAAAAUAUUAACAAGAAGUUAUAAUAAUUUUUAUAUAUUAUUACUAAAAUAUAAUAAUAUUAACUAAUUUAAAUAUUAUUUAAAUGCAUAUUUGUUACUUGAUAAUAACAUGUCUAAAAUGGACAUUUUAUUUCUUAAAAGCACUUUUUGACAGUAAUACUAAACACUUAAAUUUUAAAUCAAAUUUUUCAAAAGUACUUUUUUACAGUACUUUUCAAAAGCACUGUCAAACUAAUUAUUCUUUAAAAAAGCUAGUGGCGUGGAAGCCCAUAAACAAAGCGGCUCACCAGUCACUAUAGCUUUACCUCUAGUAAAAGAAAAAAAAAGAAAAAAAGUAAUUUAAUUUCAAUUAUUAAAAUAAAAUUUAAUAUCUUAAAUAAUAAUUAGAUUAAAUCAUAAAAACUCAAAAUUUAAUAUAGAUUAAUUUGAUAUUCUCAGUAAUUUUUUUUAAAAUAUAUAUAUUUAGUUUAAAAGUUAAACGUUUCUUGUUAAUUGUAUUAAUAAUUUAAUAAAAUUUACCUUUUAAAUAUAAAAUAUUAUGACAUAUUAAUAUUUUUUUCCAGUGUUAAAAUAAUUAAAAAAAAGUCAAUGAAGCUUUAACAAAGUUGACAAAGAUAGGGUAGAGGUGUGUAUGGGCCGGGCCGGGCUCAACUAAAAUUUUAGGUCCGUUUGCUAGGCCCGAAUCUGGCCCAAAAAAUGAGCCUAAAAUUUUACUAAAGCCCGACUUGGAUAAAUAUGUUAAAACCUAGGUCCGACUCGGCCCGCCCAUAUUAAUUUUUAUAUUAUUUUUAUAUAAUUUUAAAAAACAUAUAAUACAUCAAAAAUAUUAAAAAUAUCAAAAUAAAUAUUUCUCAAGAAAUUGAAAAUAAAUUUUAAAAAAUAUAUAUAUUUAAAUAAUAACAAAAUUAACAUAUGUUUUUAAAAUAAUAAUAAUAAAAUAGUAACAACAUAAUAAUAAAAUGGUAGUAAAAUAGAGUAUUAAAAAUAGAUUUUUUUUUCAAUUAGUGACUUCUGGCCGGGCCGGGCCUCGGGGGUAAAAAAUGCCUUACCAAGGCCUGGCCCGUCUUUUAAACUGGCCUUAUUUUUCUAUUCAAAUCUAUUUUUCGGGCCUAUAUUUUUUGUCUAAACCCUCCCACAUUUUGGGCGGGCCUUUGAGUCGGGCCGGUGGCCCGACCCAUGAACAAGUCUAAGACAGAGACUUUGAACCUUGAAAAAUCGAGUUUUAGUCCCAUUAUUUGCAAUUACAAUGGUUGGGUUCUCUCUCUUACUUUGUGUGGAUUUUAUCCCGUUUUUUCCAAAUUAGUCUGGCUUUUGUUUGAUUCUUUUUUCAUUACUUAACAUCAUAGUUAAUUAAACAUAUAUUUGUAUUUGUCUUAUACUUUUCUUGUAUUGUAUUCUAGUGAAACUUAAAAAAAAAAUAAAAAAUUUUAAAAAUUGAACUUAAAAAUGAAAAUGUAUGUUUCGAAAUAAAUCUCAAAACUUUACAUAAAUUUAAUGUAUAAUUUUAUAUGUGAAUUUUAUUAUGGUACAAUUAUACACAUAGAACUAUGAUUGUCGAACUUUUAUUUUGAUUCAAUGAUAUAUAUUCAAAGAAAUAGAUAUAUCAAUUUAUUUUUAUAUUAGAUAAAUAUAAUUAUUUACAUAUAUAAUAUAUAAACAUAUAAUUGUGUUAUAUUAAUAAUUAUGUUAAUAAUUUGUGAGAAUUGGAUCAAAUUAAAAUUUCACACAUUAAACCAAAGUUAAUGUAUAAUUUUGAGAUUUAACUCAAACAUUAAAUCAUAAUAAAAAGACUAAAUUCAUAAAAAAAUAAUUUAUAGGGACCUUUUAUAAAAUUUUACCUAAUAAUUAUAUUACGUAUGCCAAUAAAGUCAUCAUCUUCGAUGAAGCUUAGUAAAUUCAGUCUCAGAUUAACAGAAAAAAGAAAAAAAAACCCAUAAAAUUCCUCAAAGAAAACCCUCUCUUCCCGCGAAAAUCCUUCUCAAUUUAACAAGAGAAGGAAGUUUUUAAAGCCUUUUGCAAUAAAAUUUUGUUGGAAAGGGCUCAUGGGAAGGGUUCUACAUGAAACACCGAAUCCACCAUUGUCGUCGUCGACGGAAGGCGCCACCACGUCGUCGACGUCGGUGAUGAAGACGUUGAACGGGUCUCACCACUUCAAGAUCACGGGGUACUCGCAAUCAAAAGGUAUGGGGGUCGGAAAAUACAUAGCUUCUGAUAUGUUCAUGGUGGGUGGGUAUUUGUGGGCGGUCUAUUUUUACCCCGACGGUAAGAGCCCCGAAGAUAAUACCGCGUACGUUUCGUUGUUCAUUGCUUUAGCGAGCGAAGGGACGGACGUUAGGGCGCUUUUUGAGCUCACCCUUUUGGAUCAGAGUGGGAAACAGAGGCAUAAGGUGCAUAGCCAUUUUGGAAGGACGCUUGAAAGCGGUCCUUAUACUCUUAAGUAUCGUGGCAGCAUGUGGUAAGGGUUUUAUUUUGCAAUUUCAAUUGGAAUUACAGGGUGGGUUUUUGGGUUUUACGAUGAAUUUUCUUUAGUUGAUUGAAGUUUUGGUGGGUUUAAUCUUUAUUCUUCUUUUGUGACUUUUAUUGGGGUUUUAAUUAUCUUGCAAGAUAGUAAGAACUGCAUAAUGGGUUGUUCUGGUUCUUGUGCUUGUAAUCUUCAGGUUCACUUUGUUGUUUAAGGCUAGAGUCUAGAUCCUCUUCUCUUUUUUUUUACAUUUAUUGAGCAUUAGCCUUUAUGUUGGUUCUUAGGUGGCUAGGAUGUUUGCAUAACAAGUUUGUUGCCUAUGAAAUAGCAAUAUAAUUGCGGGAAAUUUUGGAGGAAUAAAUUAGCUUCAUUCCUGUGACAUACUUUUUUUAUAUAUGAAAAGUAUUUGGGGUAGUUGACAAGAAUAUAAUUUCACAUGAAUUAUGCUAAAAUUGGCUAUUGCACUAGAUUUUGUUAGCCACUAAGGCUGACCUUAAUUGCUAUUAUUAUUAGCAUUACUUUUUUGGUCAUUCUUUCCUUCUCCUAAUCUUAUUAAGAUUCCAUGACUUGUGAAUUUCGAUUUAUUUUGAAAUACAUGUAAUAUAUUGAGUAGAGAUUGUGGGGAUUAGUGAGAAUAAAGCGAAGUUAAUUCAGUCAUAUGUCUGCUUUUAUAUAUAUAUAUAUAAAAACAUGUGUUCUUGUCCGUUUUUUGGUUUGAGACUAGUCAUGUUUGGACCAGGGUGGUAUUCAAGUAAAACCUACCUAAUAGUGAUGGCUCCAGGACUUGAACUCAGUCCAAAUGCUUGGGCAAGAAGUCUACUCCACUUCUUCCAACCAUGCUUUUUUUAUUUUGAGUUUAGCAUGUCUAUAAAAAUUACUUCUUAUUAAAGUGUUCUGUUAAAUUUGAAGGAUUUCAGUUAUUUUUUUUAAAAUUUUUUGCAUAUUGCCUCCUGUUACUGUUUGUGUAGACAUGUUUUUCUUCAAAGCUACACUCUGGUUUCUUUUAUGCUCCAUCUCGAUCCAUACAGUUCAAACUUACUGCAGCUUGUUUAAUUUGGCAUCUUAGUAAAGCAUUUGGUUGCAAUCAAGUAUACAUUGUUGACCAAGACAUAUGCAACAACAUUAUUGCUAGCCUAAUCGAACAAUUCUAUAGUAUUGAUUACUUUACUUUUUUGAUUGUUCAUGAUGUCUGACCUUUACUAACUGGAUGAUAAAUGUUAUUAAGACAUAUGUGGGUUGCGUUAUAUCAGAUUUCAGUCUUAGCCUCUUGGCCUGUAGGUUCUUAGCACCCAAUUCCUGUAGGGGUAUUUGCCAAGUUCCGAGGUUUGGCUCCUCUUGUCUUCCCCCUGAAAUGAACAAAAAGAAGAAGCAUAUUUUAUUUAUUUCCCUCAUUUCUCUUGGUAUAUGAUAACCUUUGGUGAGUAAAGAAGUAAUUAGUUUGAUUUGCUGCAGGGGAUAUAAACGGUUUUUUAGAAGAACUCUUCUUGAGCAGUCAGACUACCUCAAAAACGAUUGCCUCUCUGUUCAUUGUAGUGUCGGAGUUGUUACGUCACAUACAGAAGGUCCUAAGUUCUACUCCAUAGCUGUUCCGCCUUCAAGAAUUGGUCAUCAUUUUGGACAAUUACUAAAAACUGGAAAGGGAACUGAUGUUAGCUUUGAAGUUGAUGGGGAAGUCUUUUAUGCCCACAAGUUGGUACUUGCUGCACGUUCGCCUGUGUUUAGGGCACAACUUUUUGGUCCUAUGAAGGAACAGAAUACAAAGCAGAUAAAAGUUGAAGAUAUUGAAGCUCCGGUUUUUAAGGUUCAUUCAAAUACCCCUCUUCUUAUGUUGGACAAGAACUCAUGCUACUUCUUGACCAAUGAUAAUGCAUUGGUGAUGGAUGCAAAGCAUUAACCUGCUGUGGAUAGCAUACACUGCCUAGGAUGCAUCAUGUCAACUCCAUUGAUAGCAUGCCUGAUGUUAAUAAUUAGUUGGAAACUUCUCCAUGCAAAUUAUAUGCUGGGGUGGCUGAUGCUUAUGCUUUUGAAGUCAAUUUGUGGCAUGUACUGUCUUAAUCUUUUAGUUAAUUGCUUCAUAUAACGCACAUGUAGAUCGUCAAUGGCUAUACACAAAAGUACAUUCCUGAAUGUGCAUUUCUUUACCUUUCUAAAAAUAAUGAUAUUCGAGCUUUAUUUGAAGGCUACAAAAUAUUUUACUCGUCAAGCUAAAGCAAUGUGACUAUAUAAAGUACGCUAUGGUCCGGGUUACUGAUACAGUAUUAUCUCUAUUGACUAUUCCUUAUCUUGCGCUUUGCAGGCCCUACUUCACUUUAUGUACUGGGAUUCUCUACCUGACAUGCAAGAGCUCACUGGUCUCGACUCCAAGUGGGUGACUACAUUGAUGUCUCAGCAUCUGCUUGCUGCCGCAGAUAGGUAUGGACUAGAAAGGUUGCGAUUGCUCUGUGAGUCCAAUCUUUGUGAGGAUGUUACCAUUAACACUGCGGCAACUACAUUAGCCUUGGCCGAACAGCACCAUUGUUUCCAGUUGAAAGCUGUGUGUCUCAAGUUCGUUGCAGUGCCAGAAAAUCUAAGAGGUGAGUGUCUCUUUAUGUUUUGAUAUGUACAUCAAUGUUGAAUUAGGGCUAUCCAUGCCCGAAAAUAAUUGCUUUUAGAUAGAAUGCAUAGCAAGUUAUCAUAUAGCUAUUCUUAAGUUUGUCUUCUUGUUAUGGGUCAUAAAUGCCACAGCUAUUCUCACAUAGAAGUCCCAUAUAGCCGGAUUGUGUCUUAGCCCUCGGGAUAUUAUGCAAUCAUUCUUCAUGCAAUUGAACAAAACACGACCUUAGGGUUUUCUAUCUCGAGCUUUUAUCAUAUAUUGUCGAACCUGAAACCCUUCAUUCAAGUACAGCUAUUCUGAAUGUCUCAUUUGGGAUUUCAUCAAGUCAUACAACUGCAAUUGCACUUUGGUUUAUACCAUCAUCAACAUCCAUAAUCUUUACAAGAUUCAUCCAACUCUUAGGUUUCUCUUGACUGAACCCCCAGCGUUUUUCUUUUGUCUUGGGCAGCUGUAAUGCAAACAGAUGGUUUCGUGUACUUAAAGGAAAGUUGCCCAUCUGUCAUGACCGAGCUGUUGGAGUAUGUGGCUAGAGUGAUUGAGCACUCGAUGUAUGUAUGCAAACAUGGGAUUGAACCCAUCUUUGAUGGAAGUGAUGCAAAUGGUAGGAGGGUGAAGCAACGGCUAUAGCUACAGCUUGGUACAGUUUCCUUACUAAUUAAAAGUAAAAUAAGAAAGAAGAAGAUAUGAAUGACCAAAAAUAGAUGAAAAUACAAUUGGAUUAGAAGAAUUCCUUUUUUUUUUUAAUUUUAUUUCAGUGUUGUAAGCUUGGGUAUUUGUAAGAGAUGUAAAUUUAGUUGUUCCUAUGGUUGCUCUGUAUUGGGAAGUGAUAUUUCCUCAUUAUAUAUUUGCGUUGUAGUUGUGUUUCAUCUUUAAAAUAUUUAUAUAUAACUUAUAAUAGGAUCUAAAUUUGUAUGUUUAAUAAUGCCUUUUAAUUGUAUUAUUAGGUCUACUUCAUUCAAUAUAUGUAUAUCAAAGUACAGAAAAAGGGGGCCAAAUAACCCCAAAUACAAAUCUGAAGAAAAACGAUAUGAAUGUCUGACCAAAAUGAAGUCAUAUCGGAUGAAAACAUGAGGGUAGCCUUUGUAUUGUAAAACUCGGAGUCUCCGGCGGUCGUAUAUUAGUGGCCUGUGGAAAAAUAAAGACAAAAGGUGUGAAGCUAAGUGGUGAUGAGAGGGGAAAAAAGAAAUGGUGAAGACGCGUGGUUGACACUGAGGUCGUAUUUGAACUCUGAUAGAAAUCAUAACAUUUCGAGAAUGAAUUAUGAUCCACGUGUGAUAGCAUAGAAAAUUAAAAAUUGAAUUAAAUAAUGCAUUAACGCAACAAUUAUAUCUUUUUUAACACUCGUAAUAUCAAAAAUCUCAAUCUCUACUUACAAGUUAAGCAAUUAAUUGGUGGGCGUCCACCCCCACCGUGUCUUAAAACAUUAACGAGCUCCUGCUCCCCGUGCCAUUUGUCACCUUCUCAUGCUUCUUAUAUGCUUCCCCAUUGAAAUCGCCGCCGUCCUCAUCCUCAUCCUCCUCUUCCUCCACCUCCUCGCAGUUUUCUUCUUCCGACGACAGUGGCACUAGCCAACAAGUCCCAUGCAAGUGGCCGUUCACGCAAACGAAAUACUCCAACCUCCCGUCACGUGACCCGAGUCGCCGGGCGGCGCUCUUGGGAACGAGCCGAGCCGCCGUCAUGCUCCAAACUCGGGUCCCGCAGUAAGGACACCUAACCCGGUCGUCGAACGCUACUUGCCGUCCGAUCAAGCAGGCUCGUGUGUUGGACCUGAGAAAUCCCCGGAAUACCCCUCGGUAGAUCCCUAAAUCGUCUUCUUUAUCCCCCACUGGGUGCUCACACGGGUCACUGACGAACAACAGAUCCGCCCGACAUUUUUUGGUCAAGAAGCUCCGACCCGAAGUCUUCGAGAACCGAGACGCACCCGCGAAAUGACCCGGAGAAGACCGACUCAGUUUGAAAUUGCGAGUCGACUCACAACCACAACAGAAAAACAUGAGCUUCGCGAGAGCAUCCCAUCCACCACCUAUUCUUCCACUAGGUGAGCCAUUAACCAAUGCCGAUACCAUGCGAGGCGCUCGAUAUACACAGAGCUUCCGCCAUAAUAACCGUUUCGCUAUAGCUCGAAGCUUACGGUUGACUGAAGCGGUCAAACAAAGGACCUGCAAAUCCCAUUUUAUUGACUCGAAAACGAGUAACAGUACACACUCGUUGAGUAUCCCCGAGUCAUCCGACUCGGUUUCUUGACUCAGUGGAUUAAGUCUUCGUCUCUGGGCGGCACUCAUUUCUAUUAGGGGGCGGAGGAGGAUCGGGGGAUAGCGAUGGUAAUUUAAAAGCGCCUAAAUACCAGUGUCUGAAACUCGAGCGAAAGACACGUGUCCAAAUGGAAAUGGAUAGUCUAUUGCCCUAGAUCAUGGGACACGUGGUGUGAUAUCAUUGGAAAGCUUCGACGCGUGGUGGAUUUGUAUUGCGCGAUGCAGGUGAUCGAGGAUCGAGAAUAACGUCAGCUGGUAAAUUGAGAUGUCAGGAUCAGCCUCCACGUGUCCAAUGAUUUCCCCGAAAUACGAGAUAUCUUUUUCAUGCCUCGAAAAUAUCUAGAUGGCUCAAACUUCAACGUGUUGAAUACAAGUUGAGUGCUCUUUUCUUUUCCUAAAUAAAAAAUAAUUUAGUUUGAUUUUUUUGGUUAAAUAAUAUUUUAUUCUUGAAUUUAUUAUUUAUGUCUUUUUUUUAAUGGAUAAUAUUAUAACCAAAUAAAAUAACUUCAAAAAAAUCUAUACUAUAAAUUAAUAAACAUAAUGUAGAGAAAAUGAUAUGAUUGUCUAUAAGUGGUAAAAGCACCUUCUACUUUUAGAGAUAAAUUUAGAUUAAAAUUCCAACUAGAAAUGAUAAUCACAAAUCUUUAAAAAAAAUUCAUCUUUACUAAAGUAAAACGUGAUGGAUUGAUUGCUCAGGUGAAGGUGAAAUCUUCAACGGCAAAGUUUUCUGAAAUUUCACUACUUAUGUUAAAUGACAAUAAUUUCAAAUCGCACACUUUUAAUAUGGAUUUUAAUAAGUUAAAAUAUAUCAUAAAUCUUUAUACUUAAUUAAUUUAUAUAAUAUUAAGGGGAUUUUUGAAAUAAUAUGAUUUUUUUUUUACAAAAAUAAUAUGAACUUUGCAUGAAAAUCCUAAAUUUAUAUGGCGGCAUGGCGAUUGUGAAUUUAAAAUUACAGGAAUUCUAUGUUUCUUUUUAAUACAAUCAUUAUCUUGUAGUCACUCAAAAUCAAUAGCCACCUUAAUGAUUUAGGAUUCUCGUGUAUAGUCCGUGUUAUUUUGAUAAUUAAAAUUUUCAUAUUAUUUCAAUAAAUUUUUUUUUCAUAUUAUUAGAAAAGGUCAAAAAAAAAUAGCUUAAAUUAUUUUGUAAGAGGAGAAAUAGUGGUGGGAUGACACGUGGAAACAUAUUAACAGACCGCGUGUUUGCUUCCAUUUAUGAAACGAUAGCUGUUGAUAAAAAAGGAAGCGGGAAAAGGCUUAUUUGACUCGUGAUCAGCACGUGGAUUGAAGAUUCUAAUUAUGGAUUGAAGUGAUAAUUCUAAAUAAUAAUAUAUUAAAAUACAAGAAACUUAAUUAAAAAUAAUUAUAAUAUGAUACUUAUAUAAACAAUACAAUUAAUACAGAUGUGAUAUCAAUAUAUAAAUAUUUUAAAAUUUAAGAGAAAUUAUACAAAUGGUCAUUUAAUUGUACUUGCGUUCCUGUUUUGAUCACUUAGCUUUAAAAAAUUUCAAUGUAGACACUAAUAUUUAAAUUUAUUCCUAUUUUUGUCACCUGUCAUUAAAUUGUUCUAACUAGUAUAAUAACACAUUCAGUCCUUAAUAUUUACAUAUUAUAUCAAUUUGAUCUUAUUGCCAAAUCAUUCAAUAAAUAUAACUUUUUACACUUAUAAAUUCUAUCAAUUUAAUCCUCAAACUUUCUAACUAAAUGUUUCAGCUUUUAAAAUAAAAAAAAAAAACAUUCUGCAUCAAUAAAUUUGUACCAAAACAAAUUCUGCAAUAAACAAGUGGUAAAAAGCUCUAUAUUGGUAUUAAAAGUAACUCAAUAUUUUCUUUUCUAAUUUACAAUAUUCAAAUUUAAAUAUUUAAAUAUUAAAAUUUUAUCAGUUAACUAAAUAAAUAUAUGAUCUGUAUGCAACGUAAUGGAUAUCCCAUGAAAAAGGGACACCCUUUUUGUCUUAAGUACAAUUUUAUUAAUAGGGUUAUUUAAAGCUAUAUUUCUUCAAGGUUUAAUUGUGUCCAUACAACCCUUCUUAACAGGUCUCCUUAACAUUCAAAUGAAAUCUUUGAUGACUGAUUCAAUAAUCAAAAAGUUGUUGGUUGUAGAUGAGUAAUUUCGAAAAUUUGUCGAUAAAGGAAUUGGUUUGAAAAGUGCUCAUUAGUUGGUUUUAUAAAUUUAUAGACUUGUUGAAUUUUAAUUAAGAAUGUAAGUAUUGUGAACUAAAUAUGUUAUUAUACUAUUUUAAAAAUAAUUUUUUAUUAUCAAUUUAACUACGAAUGACUAAAAUAAGAGUUAAUUCAAAUAUUAGUGCCUAAAUUAAAAAAAUUUAAAGUUGAAUGACAAAGCAGGAAGUUGGAGAUCAUUUGUAUAGUUUAACUUAAAUUUCACAUUACCAAAUUUAUAUAAAUAAAAAAAUAAUAUUAAAAAAAAAGAUAUUUAUUUGUAUUUUUUUAAUGAAUUAUAAUAAUAGAAUAAAGUUCGAAUAAUAAAUGAAACUCGAACCCAUGUAACACCUAUAAUUAUUAUUAAAAACAAAAACAAGAGUGAGGAGUUAGCGAAGCUAAACUAACUUUUUAUGUUGGUUGGGAUAGGAGCAAUUUAUUACAUUAUGAGGUUCGAGCAGCUUUUCAGCAUAAAUGGGUGCCCACUCAUUUAUAGCUCAUAAAUAGAUUCUUUACCUUUUUCCGAGCUAUAAGUUAUGAUUUUGAUUUUUUUUAUUACUAGUUGAUUAACGUAAAAUAUAAAUAUAAAAAUAAUAAAAUUAAACAGUUUAGUGAUUAUUUAUAAUUAAGAGAUAAAAAAGAAUAGUUGGAUAAUCUCUACGGUAGUUUAUCCUUAAAAUAUUAAAAAAUAAUUUAUUUGACAGUUUAAUUAAUUUUUUAGUCUAGAUAAAUUAAUUUGUACCAAUUUUCAAAUUAAUUAGCUCAAAAUAAUUCGAUGAAUCAAUUUUCAAUCCAAUCAACUAACUUAGAGAAAAGUAUUAAAUUAACUGAAUUUUUAAUUCUUUUUUAUAAAAUAUAAUGAUUUAUUUAAUUGGACCAACAUAUCAAUAACUUAAUUGACCAGAAAAAUGAAUGAAUCCGAGGCAACAAACCUCUGCUAAAUUCUAUCCCAACCCUCUUAUAAUAACCCUCCGUAUGAUUGUAUCAACAAUCUUUUAUUUCUAAUUUAGCGAAAUUAUAUUGAUAUAAUUAGUGCAUAUUUUAAAUAAUAUCAAGUCAUCUUUUAAAAAAUAUAUAUUAAUUAAUUAUGAAUUGCAUCCCUUGAUUUAAAAAAAAAUUAAUAGCAAGAUUUAAUACUAUUAUUUAAUUAAACUAACAUUUCAAUUUUGGAUUAAUUUUUUAGUAAAAACUAAAAAAGGAUGGAUUUUAUAAUUAGAGCAAAAAAUGUGGGCACAGCUUCGGCAGAUCGCUUAGCCCCGUUCAUCUUCGGCGCAAGAGCGCUCGAUCAGUGAGCUAUUACGCACUCUUUCAAGGGUGGCUGCUUCUAGGCAAACCUCCUGGCUGUCUCUGCACCCCUACCUCCUUUAUCACUGAGCGGUCAUUUAGGGGCCUUAGCUGGUGAUCCGGGCUGUUUCCCUCUCGACGAUGAAGCUUAUCCCCCAUCGUCUCACUGGCCGACCUCAACCCCUAUUAUUUU